This 803-nucleotide ribosomal RNA is filed under the name Streptomyces beijiangensis. RNAcentral's name for it is "bacterial SSU rRNA". It matches the Rfam family "Bacterial small subunit ribosomal RNA", at positions 58 to 876 of the family's 1533-position model. The record is from RNAcentral. Lineage: Bacteria; Bacillati; Actinomycetota; Actinomycetes; Kitasatosporales; Streptomycetaceae.
CAAGUCGAACGAUGGAGCCCUUCGGGGUGGAUUAGUGGCGAACGGGUGAGUAACACGUGGGCAAUCUGCCCUUCACUUCGGGACAAGCCCUGGAAACGGGGUCUAAUACCGGAUAAUACCUCUCUCCUCAUGGGGGGAGGUUGAAAGCUCCGGCGGUGAAGGAUGAGCCCGCGGCCUAUCAGCUAGUUGGUGGGGUAAUGGCCUACCAAGGCGACGACGGGUAGCCGGCCUGAGAGGGCGACCGGCCACACUGGGACUGAGACACGGCCCAGACUCCUACGGGAGGCAGCAGUGGGGAAUAUUGCACAAUGGGCGAAAGCCUGAUGCAGCGACGCCGCGUGAGGGAUGACGGCCUUCGGGUUGUAAACCUCUUUCAGCAGGGAAGAAGCGCAAGUGACGGUACCUGCAGAAGAAGCACCGGCUAACUACGUGCCAGCAGCCGCGGUAAUACGUAGGGUGCGAGCGUUGUCCGGAAUUAUUGGGCGUAAAGAGCUCGUAGGCGGCUUGUCACGUCGGUUGUGAAAGCCCGGGGCUUAACCCCGGGUCUGCAGUCGAUACGGGCAGGCUAGAGUGUGGUAGGGGAGAUCGGAAUUCCUGGUGUAGCGGUGAAAUGCGCAGAUAUCAGGAGGAACACCGGUGGCGAAGGCGGAUCUCUGGGCCAUUACUGACGCUGAGGAGCGAAAGCGUGGGGAGCGAACAGGAUUAGAUACCCUGGUAGUCCACGCCGUAAACGUUGGGAACUAGGUGUUGGCGACAUUCCACGUCGUCGGUGCCGCAGCUAACGCAUUAAGUUCCCCGCCUGG